AACUUCAUGGUGUAAUUGGUAGCAUACCAGAUUUCGGUUCUGGAGGUGGUGGUUCGAAAUCGCCUUAAGCGA
Molecule: transfer RNA, 72 nt
Filed under: Segatella copri
Lineage: Bacteria; Pseudomonadati; Bacteroidota; Bacteroidia; Bacteroidales; Prevotellaceae
Also listed under: 1 other name
Description: Prevotella copri tRNA-Arg
Rfam family: tRNA
About the family: Transfer RNA (tRNA) molecules are approximately 80 nucleotides in length. Their secondary structure includes four short double-helical elements and three loops (D, anti-codon, and T loops).
Source: RNAcentral